Molecule: ribosomal RNA, 253 nt
Filed under: uncultured bacterium
Lineage: Bacteria
Description: partial 16S ribosomal RNA
Rfam family: Bacterial small subunit ribosomal RNA
Source: RNAcentral
UACGUAGGGGGCAAGCGUUGUCCGGAAUUACUGGGCGUAAAGUGUGCGCAGGCGGCCGCGCAAGUCGAGUGUGAAAGCCCCGAGCUUAACUUGGGAACUGCGCUCGAAACUACGUGGCUGGAGUGUGGCAGAGGAAGGUGGAAUUCCACGUGUAGCGGUGAAAUGCGUAGAGAUGUGGAGGAACACCAAUGGCGAAGGCAGCCUUCUGGGCCAACACUGACGCUCAUGCACGAAAGCGUGGGGAGCAAACAGG